Molecule: unclassified non-coding RNA, 293 nt
Filed under: uncultured fungus
Lineage: Eukaryota; Fungi
Description: partial contains 5.8S ribosomal RNA, internal transcribed spacer 2, and large subunit ribosomal RNA
Rfam family: 5.8S ribosomal RNA (bases 1-52)
Source: RNAcentral
AACGCACCUUGCGCUCCUUGGUAUUCCGAGGAGCAUGCCUGUUUGAGUGUCAUUAAAUUCUCAACCUUACCCACUUUGUUGGGCUAGGCUUGGAUGUGGGGGCUUGCAGGUCCGCCUUUGCGGGUGGUCUGCUCCUCUGAAAUGCAUUAGUGGGUUUGUGCCCCUCAUCUCUUGGUGUGAUAAUUAUCUACGCCGCUGGGUGAUGCAUCAAUGAAACCUGCUCAUAACCGUCCGUCUCGGACAACUUUGAUCAUUUUGACCUCAAAUCAGGUAAGACUACCCGCUGAACUUAA